AACUAUCAAUAAUUUGUAGUUGGUUCAACUAAUUUUGGAUAAUAUUAUAAAAUUUAUGUCUGCUUGACUUGCAAAGUCUACAGAUAAGCUAACACUAGUUUGUGCGGUUAUGUAAUCAUUGCAUACCUUGAUCACUGAAUGAUAUACCGCAUGUGCGCAGAAACUCUAGUAAUACAAGGAUCCUGAAAGAACAAGAGAAUGUGGUUUUAGGUAUAUUGCUGAUGUUCUUGUAGAAAUAAUAUUGUCAAGUGUUAUUAGGAGAGAUUAUGCUGUUUGACAGUGUCUGCGCACUCAAAUACAUGUACUAUUGGGUUAAAAGCUCAACUUUCUUUUAAGGAAUGCAAGAUUGCAGAUCUUAGAGACAGUUGAGCAGUCCCCAUCCUUGACCUCUUAGUCUCUCACAAAUAAAUCCUAAAACGUUAACAUACCCUG
RNAcentral lists this long non-coding RNA (432 nucleotides) under Daucus carota (carrot). RNAcentral's name for it is "long non-coding RNA (DCAR_LNC005032)". Lineage: Eukaryota; Viridiplantae; Streptophyta; Magnoliopsida; Apiales; Apiaceae. The record is from RNAcentral.